RNAcentral lists this ribosomal RNA (253 nucleotides) under uncultured bacterium. RNAcentral's name for it is "partial 16S ribosomal RNA". It matches the Rfam family "Bacterial small subunit ribosomal RNA", at positions 524 to 776 of the family's 1533-position model. The record is from RNAcentral.
GACGGAGGGUGCUAGCGUUGUUCGGAAUUACUGGGCGUAAAGGGCGCGUAGGCGGCUAGGCACGUCGGAUGUGAAAGCCCUGGGCUCAACCCAGGAAGUGCAUUCGAAACUGCAGAGCUGGAGUCCUGGAGAGGAAGGCGGAAUUCUCGGUGUAGAGGUGAAAUUCGUAGAUAUCGAGAGGAACACCGGUGGCGAAGGCGGCCUUCUGGACAGUGACUGACGCUGAGACGCGAAAGCGUGGGGAGCAAACAGG